Long non-coding RNA from Oncorhynchus tshawytscha (Chinook salmon), 274 nucleotides. The record is from Ensembl. NCBI's taxonomy places the organism in Eukaryota, Metazoa, Chordata, Actinopteri, Salmoniformes, Salmonidae.
AGGUAGCCUAGUGGUUAGAGGAGACAGGUAGCCUAGUGGUUAGAGGAGGCAGGUAGCCUAGUGGUUAGAGGAGGCAGGUAGCCUAGUGGUUAGAGGAGGCAGGUAGCCUAGUGGUUAGAGGAGGCAGGUAGCCUAGUGGUUAGAAGAGGCAGGUAGCCUAGUGGUUAGAGGAGGCAGGUAGCCUAGUGGUUAGAGGAGGCAGGUAGCCUAGUGGAUAGAGGAGGAGGUAGCCUAGUGGUUAGAGGAGGCAGGUAGCCUAGUGGUUAGAGGAGAC